Molecule: long non-coding RNA, 43694 nt
Filed under: Triticum aestivum (bread wheat)
Lineage: Eukaryota; Viridiplantae; Streptophyta; Magnoliopsida; Poales; Poaceae
Description: long non-coding RNA (TAES_LNC017326)
Rfam family: MIR1120/MIR1122 microRNA precursor family (bases 3334-3459)
Source: RNAcentral
CCUCAUGGUAUCCAAGUUGAAAGAGAUAAGUUGAACAAGUAUGGUCGUCCUUUAUUGGGAUGUACUAUUAAACCAAAAUUGGGAUUAUCCGCAAAAAAUUAUGGUAGAGCGUGUUAUGAGUGUCUACGUGGUGGACUUGAUUUUACCAAAGAUGAUGAAAACGUAAACUCACAACCAUUUAUGCGCUGGAGAGACCGUUUUGUCUUUUGUGCCGAAGCUACUUAUAAAUCACAGGCCGAAACCGGUGAAAUCAAGGGGCAUUACUUGAAUGCGACUGCGGGUACAUGUGAAGAAAUGAUUAAGAGAGCUGUAUUUGCAAGAGAAUUAGGGGUUCCUAUUGUAAUGCAUGACUACUUAACCGGGGGAUUCACCGCAAAUACUACUUUGGCUCAUUAUUGCCGCGACAAUGGCCUACUUCUUCACAUUCACCGUGCAAUGCAUGCAGUUAUUGAUAGACAGAAAAAUCAUGGUAUGCAUUUCCGUGUAUUAGCUAAAGCAUUGCGUAUGUCUGGGGGAGAUCAUAUCCACUCCGAUACAGUAGUAGGUAAGUUAGAAGGGGAACGCGAAAUGACUUUAGGUUUUGUUGAUUUAUUGCGCGAUGAUUUUAUUGAAAAAGAUCGUGCUCGUGGUAUCUUUUUCACUCAGGACUGGGUAUCCAUGCCAGGUGUUAUACCGGUAGCUUCAGGUGGUAUUCAUGUUUGGCAUAUGCCAGCUCUGACCGAAAUCUUUGGGGAUUACGGUACCUUGGUACUCCCUCAAGUAGCGAUGGAGUACCACUUAAAUCUGACCCUCCACAUAGGAGGGUAGUUUAGUCUUUUCUCCUCUUAAUUAGGUCAGUUUCUGAUUUCUAAUCGGAUCAUCCGUCCUAUCACCAACGCAGCUGCCAUCACAUUAUAGCGAUUACGUCUCCAUGAUGACCACGCCAUUGCUGCCUGACAUCUGCUCUUUUUCACAGGCACCGAUCAAGAGCGAGUGGAUAGAAGUUAGGAAUGAUAGAAAACUUGUUUCAGUCAAUGGAUGAAUAUGUCUCCUUUGCGCUGGAAGUUAUCGAUCAAACAUAAUUUGGCUACAAGUUCUCGAAAACCACACAAAUUUUAUAACAUGUACAAAAGAAAUUAAAACAGAAAAUAUAAGUAUUAUUGUGGAAUACACGCAAGAGACAUCAGGCUCGCAAGAAGUUCGUCAGCAGCCCAACAGAGUCCAAUCAAAGCAGCCUCUCACCGUCCUUCCAUAGUCCAUAUUGAACCCAGUCAGUCAGAUCAACUGAACAUUUGUACAACUGCAGUGCCGACGUGAUAGAUCUCCGGCCAGCCUGAUGAUCCCGCCUCGCCGUAGUCAUCCUGCUUUAGUGCGUUCGAGUUUCCAAUUUCGCGAGAAAGCAAACGCGCUCGCGGUGUGGCGGCGGCGCCGCCCAGCCCUGGUCGGCGACCAUUCCCGGCAGAUGCCACUCCAGCAAGUCCGUGGCCCUAUGGUUGUCUGUCUCUUGUAAUCGGGCAGAUCAUAGUGGCCGGCGGCAGCUAUCCUAUUGAAGAAUUAGGCUUUUUUAGGGAUUAAAAUUAGGGUUCUUGCGAUCGAGUUGAAUAGCUAUUAUGUCUCAGCCGUGAUGCAUUGUGUUUUUACAUGGAAUCAGUUUACCUUUUUACCCCCAAGCACGAGAUACUCCCUGCUUUUUUCAGUUGGUACUCUCUCAUACACACGUUGGAGUACCAACAGUCGUCCAUCAUUGGAUCAAGAGAAAUGGAGGGCUCAUAUUCAUUUAGGGGUACUGUAAAGGAGCUCGUCUGACUAUAUUGGGUUUCCCGUUUUCUGCACUUUAUUGGGUUUAUAGUUUCUACUGUGUUGAGCUUGAGCAUCAGAUAUUCAGAAUCAACUGAUGAGUUGGAUUGUAGCAGCUCAGAAAUCAUCCACUUUACCCGAGCGACUGCCGUUUUCUGCUAAUUUUUGGCUCUGUGCUGCAUAAGAAUGGUGACGGUGUAUCCCAUCAUGNNNNNNNNNNNNNNNNNNNNNNNNNNNNNNNNNNNNNNNNNNNNNNNNNNNNNNNNNNNNNNNNNNNNNNNNNNNNNNNNNNNNNNNNNNNNNNNNNNNNNNNNNNNNNNNNNNNNNNNNNNNNNNNNNNNNNNNNNNNNNNNNNNNNNNNNNNNNNNNNNNNNNNNNNNNNNNNNNNNNNNNNNNNNNNUUUUUUUGCUUAGCAGUUGUAGUCUCAACUAUUGCCCCUAGAGAAAUUUGAGGCUUCCCCCCCGAAUCCUGUAACAAUAAUUAUCCAAAAAACCCAAACAGAGUUAUGUAUUUGACUAUUUGGAAAAGAGCAUAACAAGUCUUCAUACAGGGCAUAUAUUAGACCUGAAAACAGCAUAUGCAUGGUUUUAGAUGGCUACCCAUCCUUUUAAUUUUCAUUUCUUCAUUGCCUCAUAAUUCUAAUUUUUUUUAAUUUGAAAAUUUACUGUGUUUUGCAGAUAGUUUGACAUAAUGCAAAGCACUAGCAAACUAUGUGUUGCCUCUGCGUCCGCGCAACCUGCUGUCCUCGGGUUCGAUGGUUGGGCAGACCUUCCAGAUGGCCCGCUAAGCUCCAUCCUUGCACUGUCAGGAUCCUUCCGUGAUGUUCUUGCUUUCGCUGCAACCUGCCGCUCUUGGCGUGCUGCAUUUUCCUCAUACCCAUCAAAAUCUACAUUCUGCAAUCUGCACCAAAUUCCCGCCUCUCCUCGCCAAUUCAAUGCCCGUGUUCAAGCUCCUGAUCUCCCUUCUAACAAUGGCUGUCAAAAGCUACGCACAUGUAAGGUCAUUGAUCCGAUCAACAAGAACAUCGCCCUGCGCUGCCAAAUUCCUCGGGAAAUUUAUCAGAAGAUGCAAUUCGCUGGCACUUCCUAUGGUCAACUAAUUUGCUGCCGUGCUGGAUAUUGUCUUGUUGUUGAUGUGUUCAGUGGUGCCAAGGUUUCUCCUCCACGUCUCCCAUUCACCGGUGAUUGUGAGAGGGAGUUCUACUUCUACGUUAGCGGCACUCCGACAGCUCCCCUUGCAUCACCCAACUCACACCUCCUUGUCAGUACUGCAGCCGGCGUAUUUGAUUGGUCGGUUGGAAGUGACUCUUGGUCUGUACUCCAGCUUUCUGAUGCACCGAUAGAAAAGAUUGUGGAAUUCAAUCAUCAGUUCAUCACCAUGGAUGAUUGUUACAAGAUCUACACAAUGCAGCUGUCCCCCCUGCUGGGUCUGCAGGAGAUAACAACUGAGUGGGUUGGUGACCUGGCCCCAAGCUCUGACGCCAAACCAUGGCUAGUGGUCUGUGGCAACAUGCUUCUUACGGUUUAAUGUUUCAGUACAAUGAGUCCAGGCUGCUCAGUAGUACUCCCUUCGUCCGGAAAAGUUUGUCCCUCAAAUGGAUGUAUCUAGCACCAAUUUAGUGCUAGAUACAUCCAUUUGAGGGACAAGCUUGGGACAAGUUUUUUCGGGCGGAAGGAGUACAAUGUAUACCCCACCACCUUGACAUGUCGACCAGCCCUGCAAAAUGGGUGGAGGUACACGCCAACUGGAUAAUUGGGCACUCUUUGUCGGGGGUGAUGUGAGGAGCCGGCUGUUUUCUUGCAUGAGUCCGGAAAGGUGGGGUGGGAGGAGCAGGAGCCUUUCGAUACCGCCACGGGGCCUGGCGGUAGAGUUAGACAGGCUACCGCCAGGGUCCAUNNNNNNNNNNNNNNNNNNNNNNNNNNNNNNNNNNNNNNNNNNNNNNNNNNNNNNNNNNNNNNNNNNNNNNNNNNNNNNNNNNNNNNNNNNNNNNNNNNNNNNNNNNNNNNNNNNNNNNNNNNNNNNNNNNNNNNNNNNNNNNNNNNNNNNNNNNNNNNNNNNNNNNNNNNNNNNNNNNNNNNNNNNNNNNNNNNNNNNNNNNNNNNNNNNNNNNNNNNNNNNNNNNNNNNNNNNNNNNNNNNNNNNNNNNNNNNNNNNNNNNNNNNNNNNNNNNNNNNNNNNNNNNNNNNNNNNNNNNNNNAUGGCGGUAGGGUGCGACGGAGGGCGACGGCCGCCGUUUGCCUGAGCUGACGUCGAUAAGUAGCCUACCGCCAGGGACCCUGGCGGUAGCCUGUCUAACUCUACCGCCAGAACCCCUGGCGGUAGCGUAUGGCUGGGUUUUGCCUCCCAUAGUUUCUGUAACGAAAUAUCGAAGUGCCUGGCGGUAGGUUCGCCCUCCCGCCAGGGGGUUUGGCGGUAAGAUGUGUGACCCUACCACCAAGGACCCUGGCGGUAGGGUCCUGUGUUUUAUGGUUUUCAAGUUUAAUUUUUGCUUCUUUUCAAAAACAAUAUCACAGCAAUGAUAUAGACCCUAAAAUAUGAGCUCACAUAUUGUUUUAGUGAUUGUUUCUUUUGUAAAGUUUUAUCACAUAGUUUCACAAAGAAAGCAAAAUAUGAGCUCACAUAUUAAUAAAGGUUCAACAUAGCAAAUAGCAAAUAGCAAAUAGUAAACUUGUCCAUAUAGUUUGACAACCACAACUAACGCAAGUACUUUCGCAAAGCCAACAAACGGUCCAACAAGUUCUUAAGACAAGUUUAUAGGGCGGACAAACUUCCCCCCUCGUAUAUUAGGCCUGGCCAUGGAGACAGAUACGGCAGCGGAUCCACCGGUUCAGGCGGAGGCGGAACGCUGGUCGCCAUCCGACCGUUCAAGCACUCCCACCUUGCCUUGCCCGCUGGAGUUCUCGCCUCCGCCCUUCCCCAACUGAUGAUAUCGAACGCCGAUGCACUUGGCGGCGGCAUCCUGGCUCUCUCCUCGGCAUUGCUCUCGAAGUAGAUCCUCCGGCCCAAAUUGCGCAGCUCCCAGUUGGAGUGUUGCUUGGCAGCUUCAAUGGUCCCUUCCCGGCGGUUACUUGGGAUAGUUGGAUCUCCCUCCAUCUCUGCAGUCACUCUCUUCAACUCCUUCACACUCUGCGACCAACACUUCACCUCGUCGGAGAUCCGCUCUGCCCUCUCGUGCCACCGCACUGCCCUCGUCGCCUCUAGGAACUCGUCUGAAAAAGCUCCCACCGGCUGCAGAAGCUCGGGGAAGGACUCGUACAUGUACGGAAGUGGAAAGGCUGACGGGUCGUGUUGGAGAUGAAUGGGCGAUGGUUGCGCCACAUAUGCGUUCCUAAACAUAUGGAUGCAUAACAAAAGUUCAUCAUUAACUAAAUAAAAUACAUAUAUCAAGACGCAAUAUCAUAUCAUAUCAUAUUUACUCCAACCAAAUCCACUACUUGCAUCAUAUAUAUUUUGUUUACUCCAAUAUGCAUCAUAUCAACAUGCAUCAUGUCAUCAAAAAAAAUCCUCCAACAUUCAUCUUGAAUGUAUUAUCUCCAAACAACAUCUUCAUAUCAUCAUAUGAACAUGCAUCAUAAAACUACAAUCAAGUCCUCCCACAUGCACUACAUCAUAAUUUUUUAACAAAAAAAAUUAUGAACUAGGGUUCAUCUUCACACUAACAUAUGAACUAUUGAUUAUAGUUCAUAUUCAACACUACUACUUACUAAAGAACUAAGAACUACAACUACAAUCAAGCUAAAACAAUCCUAGGUGAAAAAGAAUCCAAUCUAAGUUCAAAAAUAUAAGGGAUUUCAAGCAAAUAAUGCGUCGAAUCGGAAGCAAGUUUGCAAAAACUAAUUGGAGGGAUCGGAGGAGCUUUCGUUUCUCUCUUCGGGGCCAUCUCGAUCCACAAAAAUGGUGAAGAAACGGUGAAGAUCCGAGGGGGGGAGUGGAGGAGAUGAGAGAGGGGCGAGUUGGGGAAGAAAAGAUGAAACUGCCGACGGGGGAAGGGGGAGGGGUGGGGAGAUGGGCAGGGGCGCGGGGUCUCGGGCGAAAUAACUGCCCGGACCCUACCGCCAUGGCCUCCGGCGGUAGGGUUAGACAGCCUACCGCCAGGUGCCCUGGCGGUAGGGUGCGACGGAGGGGGGCGGCGGCCGUCUCCGCGUGCUGACGUGGAUAAGUACCCUACCGCCAGGGGCCCUGGCGGUAGGCUGUCUAAACCUACCGCCAGAGCCCCUGGCGGUAAGAAAAAGGGUCAAAUCCCGAAUUUUUUUCAAACCGGGGUCAGAUCCUGAUUUUCUAUCGGAAAAGGGUCAAAACACGAAAUUCGGCCACGCAGCUAUGGCUUGAUGCUCCGCACGCUCCUGAUGAAAAUUUCCCUUACAAGUUACAACAGAGUAGGGACUUUUGCAACUCUUGGGCAGUGCCAUCGUAACAAUAGCACUUAUAACUUGGUGGGUUAGUACUGAAGCUUUUGUAGCAGUUUGGUGCUUGGAGCUUGUUAGGAGUAGUCAAGCUUCUAAUCAAGUUAGUGGUAUUUCGAACUACUUGUUUCCACUCUCUUCCCCAGUUGAUAAGUUUAAGUCUUCUAGACUGCGUUAACUUAAUUUCAUCUAACGUAUUUCUGUAUGUCCUUGGCUUCUAUCACUGGACAAGUUCAUCUCUUGUGAAUAUUUACUUAGUUGCAAGUUUUAAUACAAUGCUAAAGGACCAUCAAAACUGCCAAUGUUUGUUUUGAAUGGAUAAUCAGAAUUGCUUGUGUCUCAAUUCUUCUCUGGUCAGAGAGCUAAAAUAUACACCUACCAUCAGGUUCACCCAGAUGCAUAAUAUGUUGCUGAAUGAUAGUUUGAUGAGAACCCUGAUAUUUAUCUUCAGUUCCAUGGCUGGCCGACCUUUGUUUCCUCAUGUUCAAGAACGAAACACACUGUCAAAACAUUGUGUUGUUUGUUCUCUUCCUCCAAUGAAGCAUACGCAGAGCUCUCUAAAGGCCUGUUCGGAGACUCUCCUCUCCCCAAGUCCGCUCCGGGAGUUGGUGAAGCUGUAGCCAAAAAUGAAGGGACCUGGAGAACUGCCAAACAGCUCCUAAAAUUGCUUUUGGCUCCAGAGCUUGAGUGAUCAUGGGGCGACAAAAAUCCAACUCUUGUGUUGGAUGGUUGAUUCAGUUUGUUUUUGGAGGUUACAAAAUACAUUUUGGAGAGGUGGGGGUGAGCCAAUGUUCAAAAUGUUUUGAGAGAAAAGUCCAAUUCUAAUUCCGUACAAUUAAAAUUCAGGUAUAAUAUUUUAGAACCAAAUCCAAGCCUUAAAUUUCCUAGGAGGAAAAAAAUCCAAGUCUUUUUCCUAUUCCACAGAAAAAUUCCGGUCUACUUUUUUUAGUACAAGAUACCCCCUCCGUCCGAUAACAGCGUUUUUACACCAGUGUACUGUCAAAACCGUUCUUAUAUUAUGAAACGCGCGGGGAGGGGGGGUGUAUGUUAUAAAUAUAAAAACAAAUAAAGCACAUCGGAUAAAAAAACAAACGUUAGAUAUCCCUUUUUUUGCCGGGUAGGCGGUAAAGAUCUUUGGUGAAACUGGAUCAUUCAAAGUCGUUCUCUCUAUGUUCAUAUUUUUUAUGUUUAUAUCCCACAUUUAACAUCUUUUUCUUUCCCCGCUCACAAGGCAACUAGGAAAAGUCUUCUUCCCCUCGAUCUCUGUCGACGAGCCCAUGGAUUCAGUCUUCCCUCCGUCUGCCGCUCGGCGGCAGGCGGUGGGGAGGGGAAACUGGUGCCUCUGCUCCAGCUAGUAGAUAGGUUGGGUUUUGGUCCUCACAGGGGUAGCGCUCGGACGGAUGUCGGCGCAUCUUCUUCAAGUCGGUCUUUUGGGCUCCGAUCCUCCUUAAGUUCGUUUGUUGGGAUGAAUUAGAUGGAGUUCUGGCAUAGAUUCAUGUCAGCUCCUCAAGGCAACGAUGUUAGGGUUUCUCGUCAUGCGUACGCAACUACGAGAUUUGGCGUAAGUUCUUUGGAUUGAUUCAAGAUGUCAACGACGACGACUGCAAAGUCAAAGGCGCUGGUCCUUAGGGGCAUGUGCACAAGAGCGGAGAGAGCGGCGCUUCGGUGACUCGUUCUGACGACGGCACUGGUCAUUCGGUGGCCCAUGUACCUUGAUGAUUUUUUUAUUAUGUUUGAAAUGUUUUGUACUUUUUCUGAUGAAUCUUUAAAAUAGAUCCGAUCCUUUUUGGAAAAAAAAGUUUGUAUCUCACAUUCCACAACAUCUCAACAUAAAAAGGAAACAAUAGGAAAACUACUAAACAAAUCUAUUGUGCUUGUUCCAAGCAGCUUUCAAUCCAGCGGGAAAAAACCACUUCUCAUCUCUCUCAGCUUCAAAAGAAAAUUCUAGGGUUCCUCUGCCUUUCACCGACGUUGUCGCCGGUCCGUCUUGUCUCCGGUCGCCUUAGGGCUAUGGGGGCACGACGGAUUCCGGUCCUUGCCGGCAGGAGGGCACCGUUUUUAGAUGAUUUUUCGACUUUUGUUAGGGUUUGUGUCUUGUUCAUGAAGACGAGAUGGCGACGGCUACCUGAAUAUAGAAUAAGGUUCUCCCCACCUAGCCCCUGUCAUGGUGAUGCGUCUAGCAGGUAUGUCUCCGUCAGAUCUAUCUUUGAUGGAUUUGCUCGGAUUUGUACGUCGUUCGUCUAUGUUUGUGUGUCUUCAGGUUGGAUCCUUUCGAUCUACACUACUCUUCAACGACGAUGGUUGCUAUUUUCUAGUGUACUGGCUCUAUGGGGCCUUACCACAACGACUUCUUGAUUGUCACAACAAGUUUUGCUCGGCUCCGGCGAGAGAGGGGCGAUGACAGCGGCGCCUUCGUCACUAGAUGGUCUACGGAUCUGGGUGUAAUUUUUAUUACUUUUGAAGUACAUUGAUUGAAGAUGAAUAGAUCAAAAGUUUUCUCUGUAAAAAAAUGAGAUCACUUCUCAUUUUUUUAGGGGAAACUCACUCUUCGCCUGGAAAGAAAUGAAGAAGUUGGACACAGCCCAUUCCCAUGUUGGGCCAGCAACACCACACGACCCCCUUCCCUGAGAGAGAGUGCGGCAGGGAAGGGGAAGCGAGCCGCCGGCGCCGCCCACCUCACCAUCGUCUCCAACGCACGCAGUCUCUACCAGAUCAGAUCAGAUCAGAUCAGGCAUGCUCUCUCUCUCUCUCUCUCUCUCUCUCUCUCUCUCUCUCUCUCUCUCUCUCCUGUUUACUUUGCUCAUCUCCUGUGCAAAUCGAAACGCGUUGCCACUUUGGUGGUAAUCUCGAUAGAUUAGAUUCCCACUUGAUUUUCUUGUUGUGAGGGAUUCGGAUGCACUGCUAAUUCGUAGAACCAUAGACUACGGUUUGGUGGUUUCUACAAGGAAUUUAACUGAGUCCACAAUCCUCAGAUGGGAAGGGGGUUCGGAUUACCCAAGUCGAAGAACCCUAGGCUGUGCGGUUUGGUGUUUUCUACAAGACAUUUAACCGAGUCCAGAUUCUGCAAAUGUGAAGGGGGGGUUCAGAUUACCCAAGUCAAAGAACCCUAGCAUUUCCACGUAUCUGUUAGUUGGAAAGGUAGAACCAUCUGUCGCCCGUUUCAGUAUAAUGUUCUGAAGUGCAGUUGGGUUUAGUUUUUACAAAGAAGUUCCUUUUGGUAAGAGAUUAUUUCAUUGUGUGAUGCAGUGUGUUGUUAUUUCCUCACAUAAUAAUACAACAGUCACGCGAACGUCCAAAUGGAAUUUUUGGUUUCAUCUGAUGAUAGUAUUCACAUUGAAGUAACCACUACAUUUCCAGGACAUGAUAUUCACAGUAGUGCAGACUGAGGCAAUGUUAGAAAUAUUUACCACAUUUGAUUAUCGAUGUAGACUAGUCCAUGAGAAUCCAAUCUCUUGCCAUGUUAUUGUGUCACUAGUGUUUUUCAUGUUUUAAACACUACUAAUUUUAUACACUAGCUAGGCUAAAGGUAGGUAGCAUGCGGCACCAUUUUGGUAUCAGUUUCUAAAAAAGUUUCAACUACAGGGAAGCAUCCUGACAUGACUGUUUACCAUCAGAAGUGACCAGCGGCUGUUUGGAGUUUCUGAUUUCAUCUGCUUUAUGUCCGUCUGCUUGAAGUAAUUACUGAUGUGUUCAAGACUAGUUUACACUGCCCCCCAGGAUCCAAUCUCUUGAUGUAUUACUGAGUCACUAGUGUCUUUUAUGUUUUCGCUGAGCGCAUAUUUGUUAUCUGUGCAUUUUUUUUCCUGGCACUUUGUAUUGCUUCUCUGUUGGGUACUACUUUAAAUAUCCAGUUCAUUCUUCUAAUAUUUGUCCUCUGAUUCAUAACUUAUUUCAGAGAAGCUGCAAUCACCUGUAACACCAAGGCGCUGAGUUUGCAUCUAGGUUGUCUCAGCUAUGUCUACGCUUCAAGGUUGGGCAGACCUCCCAAAUGACUUGCUGUACUCUGUUGUUGCUCGGUUGGGAUCCUUCCCCGAUCUUCUUGCUUUCGCUGCAACCUGCCCGUCUUGGCGUGCUUCCAUUUCCUCAUAUCCCUCCAAAUCGACAUUGUUGCCACCUCUUCUCCUCCAACCUGGCGUCCCUGCAUGCUCUUCUCGCCCUCGCCCUCGCCCAUUGAGCAACAACCUUGUACUUAGACGCUCAUGCCAUGUUACUGAUCUUGCCAACAAAGACACCUACAUGUGCUGUCAGAUUCCCCAAUUUGCUUGUUUUUGUGACAGCAAAUCCCCAUCGGGUCCGCUGGAUGAAUUUUUUUUGGGGAGUGUGUCCUAUGGCCAUCUCGUCUUGGCCAACCGACAACAAUCAUGUCUUCUGGUUGAUGUCUUCACAGGUGUUAGUGUCUCAGCUCCGCAGCUACCCGUCAACGGACGCAUCCUCCUCAACUAUGCUGCCCUCACGGCUCCUCUUUCGUCACCCAACUCAUAUCUCCUUGUCAAUGUUGGGCGCCACAAUUUCUUUUCGCGUGAUGGUAGCGAUUCUUGGUUGAGACGUUCUCCUCGCAAUGGGACAUUUAAGAAGCUCGUGGUCUUCAAAGACCAGGUCUUUGGCAUGGAUCAUGAUCGCAUGCUCUAUAUCGUGCACUUGGAACCCCGGAUACGCAUACAGAAAAUAGCAGUUCAUCUGGAUGGAAGCAUGGCCAACAAAUGGCAUCUUAAGCAACCGUGGCUUGCCGCAUGUGGUGACAUGCUUCUCAUGGUCGGUUGUCAGAAACAUUCUCCAUCAACAGGGGACACUUUUGAAGCUUUCCGACUGGACGUAUCGACUGAACCUGCAAGGUGGGUAAAGGUGGAGAAGCUAGAAAACUGGGCGAUCUUCAUCAGUAUCGACAAGAGAAUCCAGCCCUUGUGUUGCAUGAACCCAGAGACAUGGGGAGGGAGAUGCAACUGUAUAUACUGCUGUAAUAGGAAAGAGUGGGUCGCAUUUGAGUUGGGCCAGCCGCCGCAGGGAGAUGCCUCCAAUCCAAAAGUUUAUAUUCACAUAAACUGUGGCAGUAUGAUGCAACCUACAUGGGUUGUGCCCAGUAUGUUCUAUUCGUGUCCGUGAACCGUGAUGACUGAUGAUCUUGAUGCAUGGUUAUUAUUAGUCCCCGUAGUAGCUCCCUCUGUAAGAUAUCUCGACUUUAUAGGUAUGCUCCAACAAGUACUGAACCAUUGUAUGUUGGAUAUAUUUGUAGUAUUAAUGAUGUCGUGGUCGGUUUGUAGCUUAUUAGUUCAGCUUGUUCUGAAAAAUUGUUGUACGAGCAGAGAAGAGAACACUGCCUCUUUUGCAGUCAGUGUAAGAGAUGUUGACAGUGGCAGGAGCACUGGCUGAAAUGUUUGCAGUUAGUUCCAUCCUUGAAUGUUUAACUACUUACUGAGAGAUCUUUAGACCUUAGUAAGAAAGAGAUGUGUUUGUUUUAUCAGUUAGGUGUGUUGUUAAUGUUUUAGUAGCUACUGAUUCUUCUUUUACCGGAACUGACAAGUUUCAGUAUAGUUUUGCCUCAAGGGCAUAGCCUUGUGUAUUUCUCAAGGGAUUCUUCUUCAGGUGAUGAUUUACCCAAAAAGGCACUUGGUUAUCAGGUUGUACGGUUGCUUCCCGUCAACUUCUUAGUUUGUCACAAGGGAGUAUGUGGCUAUGUGCUAUGAGUUUUGCAGAGUUUUUUUUUCUUCAUUUUAGCACAGAGAAGCCGGGUUGGUUAUACAACAUCUGAUCAUGCUACGUAAGAUUUUACUGAUUCAUUUAGUUUGAAAUAUAAAUGUAUGACAUUCAAGCUAGGCUUGGUGUCUGCUUUAACUUUUGCAUUCUAGGGGGCGCUGCUGCUGUCUCUGCUUGAACUGACUCGUUAUGGAACAGCAUGCUUUUUUGCAUGUGCAAAAGUUAAUCUCCUGUCAAAUUUUGAAUUUAACUGUAGCAUAAAAAAAUAUACACCUGGUAGCAUCAGAUGCAUAUGUUGUUGCGGAGGUAGUUCAUGUUUGACACUUGGACCGGAGCCCCUCCUGUUCCAUGACCUGCCUGUUCUGCUUCUCAUGUUCAGAGAGAACACAUGUCUGUUCUCUUCCUACGAAGGAAGGACGUAGGAGAGGCGACGAGAGAAAAAAAUAGCUUUUGCCCCCUGAACACGAGUGAUCCCGGGACAUCCCUAAAUAUAAGAAGAUUUGGUAGAGGCUGUUGAAAUGGGCAAUCCAAGCCUAAAUAUUUGAUGGCCAAGAAAAUCCAAUCUAAAUAUUUGCCUCUGUUUUUUUAGCUGUUUCUUUUUCUGGAUGGGAGUCAGCAGGGGGCAUUUUUUAAACAGGCUUUCACCCCUGCUUUAUAAAUAAACCAACCAACCAGUCCAACAAAGGACUAGCAACAUACCACAUAGUCUGUUGGGGCCAUAGCACAAGCAAGCCCAAAGAAAACAGAAGAGAAAGCAUAAAAAAAGACGUCACAUCAAGAGGUCAUCAACGAAGCUAAUCGAUGAGCCCAUGCUGACUCCCAAAGAGUACUCUUUGGCCUACGGUUGACCAAAGAGUACUCUUCAGCCUACGGCAGACCAUAGAGUUCUUCUCGGCCCAGUUGGGGUACUCUUCAGCCAACGGGAGGCUGAAGAGCCCACUUCGGUCAACCGCAGGCCGAAGAGCCCCUCUUCGGCCAACUGGAGGCCGACGGGGUGCUAGUUUUGAUUUUCUUGCGUGAGGACGUAUAGAUUCCGAAUUUGCUAUAAAAAUCAUCACAGUUUUGAAAAAAAAUCUCGUCGACGUGCCGUGGCCUGUAGUGCAUUCAACAUCUGCCCUAGGUGCUCUUGGUCCUGUUGCCUAGCCAGCGGGUGCCAGUGCUGCAGGAACGCAAGAAAUUUGAAGAAAGAGUGAGGCGCGUCACAAAAAGACCCUCUCGAUCACCAUCUUAUUACACGGCAAUCAUAAUGUCCAAGAAAGCGCAGCAAAGACCAGCGAGAAGAGGCGUCUUUGCCUUCCAGUCUGCAACACUCUGGCCUAAAGGAAGCUGACAAGAUUCACCGCCUCCUACUCGAGCCCGAGGGCUUCCCGGACAAAGCUGCACAACGACCUAGCCGCCGUCCCGGAGAAGAGGACGUGGGUCCGAUUCUCCGGAACACCACAAAGAGGCGCAACCAUUACCCGACCCAUGCUGCUUGAGCAUCUCCGUCCCAGACUGGAGGCGAUCCCUCAGCAAUUUCCAAACAAAAUGUUUAAUCUUCAAGGGGAGAGGCUUUCCAGAGGGGCGCCAACCACUAAUCAUCGGCCUCUGGCACAGUGCACGAUAUGCCAAAGCCAUCGAAAAAUCUCCCGAGGGAGAAACUUGCCAAUGCGCAGAGUCAGGGUCAUUGGUCAACACAGGAGGUAGGGUCGCCGGUAAAUUGGACCACUCUAACACCUCCGUCGGGCCAAGUGUGCGACAGAACAAGAUGUUCCAUUGUCCAUUUUGGCGAGCCUCCGAUACUAAUAACAAUGGAUUCCCGCAAAUGGCGAACAAGUCACGGAACCCUCGUGUAAAGAGGGAUUCCAUCCACCAAACGAUCUAGCCAAAACAUGGCCCCUCCGCCAUUACCAAUUGAAAAGGACAGCCCAGGAGAAUCUCAUGUUUGAUCUUCUGGAUCGACCGGCAAAACUGGGAGCCCUCCAUGCAGUCACAAGCUAGAAGAGGCAUGCCCAGAAGGUACUUUGCAUGUAGCCACAAUCUCCCCUCCUCGCGGAUGAUCCGUCAAACCCACCUAAGCAUGAGGGCGACAUUCAUCCGACGGGAGGCCAGGAUACCAAACCCACUCAUAUCCUUGGGUAGGCAGAUGUCGGCCCACUUCAUCAUGUGGUUCUUCUGGCGUCCAUUCAUGGCAAUGCCAGAAGAAAUGGGAAAGGUCUUUAUCAAAGGACCUAGCAGGGCCGUUGAUCCUUUUUUUUCAGGGUGUGGCGUUGUUCUGUUUUUCUUUUGCUUUGUUUUCCAGCUAUGCUCAGUGCCAAAAGAAGCACAUGUCGUCCCGCUCGGAGAAAGACAGCACCGUUCGGGAAGCGAGUCGCUGGAGAAGACGCCGGCCGACGCCAGCCUUCCACCGCGUCAUCAUCUCCUACCGCGUGCAUCCAAUCCCAUCCUUCUCUACAAGGUCCGCCUCUUCAUGAACCCAGCAUCCCAUCUUCCUAUACAUCCCAUUCCAUCUGGUUUUCUUCGGCUGUUUCCUUUCCUUUUCUCUCAUGUUCAUCCAUUGUGGUUCAUUAUUAUACGCCGCGCCUCCUCUCUACCAGUGGCUCCUAUAGUACCUUCCCAAACCAGUUUUUUUUCUUCUCUUUUUUCAUUUUUGUUUCCUCUUUUGUUUCCUUUUUCGCCUUUUCUUCUCUUUUUUUCUUUUCUUUUAUGAUUUUUUUUCUUUUUCUUUGCUUUGCAUCUUCUUUGUUUUAUCUUUCUUCUUGUUUUCGUGAACACUUUUUAAAAAACCGGGAACCUUUUUUAUUCAUGGAAUUCAAAACUUGUUCAUCAUAUUCAAAUUUUGUUCAACAUAAUUUUAAAAAUGUUCAACAAAUUCAAAAAAAAUCAUCCACUCUUCAAAAAGUUCAUAUGAUUUUAAAAAUAUGUUCUUGAAUUAAGAAUUUUUUCAUCAAGUUCAAACAAAUGUUCAUAAAAUUCAAAAUUUGUUCAUAUGAUAAAAACUGUUCAUAAAAAAAUACAAGGUUUAUUCUUGAAUAUACACAAAAUGUUAAUUGUGUUGUUUUUUAAAUUGUGAACAUAUUUUGGAACACGUGAACAAUUUUUUUAAACAGACAAAACAUUUUCUUAAUUUUUGGUAACAAUCUUAACAUUUCUAGUUUUUUAUGAACAUUUUUCGAGUUCAUGAAUAGUUUUUGAAUAAGUUUACAUUUUUUGAAUUUUCUGAUUGUUUUUGAAAUCACAAACAUUUUUCAAAUUUGUGAGCAUUAUUUGAAUUCAAGAACAUUUUUUGGUUCCACAAACUUUUCAAAAUUCUCAAUUUUCUUAUAUUUUGGAACUUUAUGGGUAUCCUGAAUUAUUUAAAGAAGAAAUCCCAAGAACGUAGAAAAACAAAAACAAAAAAAAAACUAAACAAGAAAGUAGGGGACUUCUUCCCGGUGCUCAUGUGCUGGUCUAAAUCGGCGCGCGGGUGUGCACCUGGUGGCUUCCCGGCGCAUUCUGCCCCCAAAUAGGAGCUCCGCAUGCUGCGAUUAUUGUCGCCGAAUCGCAUACUAGCAAUAUGAAUUGGGCCCGCCCAUUUACCAUACAGCGCGCAUGCUAGUCCUGGGAACCCUGUAUACGGUUCUAACCGUAUGUCUUUUAUAUUUAUUCUUUUUUUGCAUUUUUCUAUUUAAUUCUUUUAUAUUCAAAAUAAAUUUGUGAAUUCAAUUUUUUUCAUAACCCCAAAAUUUGUUCUGAUUUUUCAUAACUUCCCUUUUUCCAAAUUUUGUUCAAAAAUUCAAAAAAUGUUUGAGAAUUCUGGAAGACGUUCAUGCAUUUUGUUCAGAAGUUUCAAAAUUUAUCAUGUUUUCAAUUUCUGUUCACAAUUUAAAAAAAUGUUCUGGAAUUUUGAAAAUAGUUCAUGUUUUUAAAAAAUUGUUUAGGGUUUUCAAAGAAUAUUCCCCUUUUCAAACUUUGUUACCAAAUUCAAAAGUUUGUAGUUGAGAAAUGUUCGAGAAUUUGAAAAAAUUUGCAUUAUUAAAAAAAUGUCCAAAAAUUUGAAAAAUGUUCCAGUUUUCAAACUUUGUUCUCAAAUUCAAAAAAUAUUUCCGUCUUAAAAAAUGAUUCUGGGAUUUCAACAAUGUUCAAAAUAAAAAAGGAUAAAAAAAUUGGUUGUUAUUUUGUCCCGUCAGUAUAGUAGACCGAACCCUAUAGGAAACUGGACCACUACAGUAACCGGUCAACCACAGUACAGAAAAUGGCUCUACAGUGAAAAAAAUCAUGGUAGAAUGGAAAUCCAGUCCUACUGUUGUAUUGCGCGCCUAGCAUGUUGAUGGGCCGGCCCAUUAGGGGCACCAUGUGUGCGUCGUCCCCUAAAUCGUCCUGAUGGAUCCUUUCCCCUUUUUAAGGGAGGUCCUAUCGGGCGCUUCAGGCGCCCGAACCUCUCCCUGGCGCUCGCUACGGCGCCCAGUUGGGCCGGCCCACGAAUCGCGCUCAGCAGCGAACACAAAAGCUCGUGAAUUUUUUUCCGGAAAAAGACAUCUCCAGGUCUCGAACACACAACCUUCCAGUUUAGGUACAAGUGCGCUAGCCACUCGAUCUAUCGCGUAGGUAGUCAUUAGUGACAGCGGCAAAGGCAUAAUAAAUAAUGUCGCUGCGCUAUUCUAUUUCAUAUUUUUUUUUGGAAAAAGAUCGUGACAUUGAAAUAGUUCAUGGAUUUUGAAAAUUGUUCUUCAUUUUGGAGGAAGAUUACACAAACCUGAAAAAGUUCAUUGGUUUUCAAAAAAGGUUCAUCAAAUUUGAAAAAACUUAUUGGUUUUGAAAAACGUUCAUCAAAAAAAAAAUUAAAGCAUUUUCAUUUAAUGUUCAUCAAACUUGAAAAAUAGUUCAGCGAAUAUGAAAAAAAAGUUCAUCACAUUUAAAAAAUGUUCAUCGAAAUUGAAAAAAAGUUAAUAAUUUUUCAAGAAAAGUUUUCUCAUUUGAAAAAAGUUCAUCGAAUUUGGAAAAAAGUUCAUCGGAUUUGGGAAAAGUUCAUUGGAUUUGAAAAAGUUCAUCAAAUUUGAGAAAAGUUCAUCGGAUUUUAAAAAAGUUCAUCAAAUUUGAAAAAAGUUCAUCGAAUUUGGAAAAGAGUUCAUCGAAUUUGAAUUUUUUUUAUCGGAUUUGAAAAAUAGUUCAGCGCAUAUGAAAAAAAGUACAUCAAAUUUGAAAAAUGUUCAUCAAAAUUGAAAAAAAGUUAAUAAUUCUUCAAGAAAAGUUCAUCAAAUUGGAAAAAAAUUCAUUGAAUUUUGAAAAAAUUUCAUUUCAUUUGAAAAAAGUUCAUCGGAUUUGGAAAAGAGUUCAUCGAAUUUGAAAAAAUUUCAUCGCAUUUGAAAAAAGUUCAUCAAAUUUGAAAAAAUUUCAUCGAAUUUGGAAAAGAGUUCAUCGAAUUUGAAAAAAGUUUAUCGGAUUUGAAAAAAGUUCAUUAAAUUUGAAAAAUGUUCAUCGAAAUUGAAAAAAGUUAAUAAUUGUUCAAGAAAAGUUUAUCUAAUUUGAAAAAAGUUCAUCAAAUUUUGAAUAAAGUUCAUCAAAUUUGAAAAAAGUUCAUCGAAAUUUGAAAAAAGUUCAUAAAAUUUGAAAAAAGUUCAUCGAAUUUGGAAAAGAGUUCAUCGAAUUUGAAAAAAGAUUAUCGGAUUUGGAAAAAGGUCAUCGGAUUUUAAAAAAGUUCAUCAAAUUUGAAAAAAAAUUCAUCAAAAUUGGAAAAGGAGUUCAUAGAAUUUGAAAAAAGUUCAUCGGAUUUGGAAAAACGUUCAUCGUAUUUUAAAAAAGUUCAUCGAAUUUGGAAAAGAGUUCAUCGAAUUUGAGAAAAGUUCAGUGAUUUUUAAGAAAAAAAUAACGAAUUUCAAGCAAAAACAUCAAACUAGGAAGAACAAAAAAAAAAGGAAAAACAGAAAACAAAACCAAAAAAGGAAAAAAAGGAAAAGAGGAAAGAAUAGAAUGGAAUAGAGGAAAAAGAUUGUAGUUCACAUAUAAGCAAGUUGGCGUGAUGGUUAGCGAUGCUUUACUCAACAGGGAUGUCGCUGGUUCGAACCUAUUCCGUGGCAUCUUUUUUUAGCGAUUAGGACAAAGGAGAUGGGCCGGCCCAGCAGGGUGAAAGGGGUGUGCGCCGUGUACCAGUAGGCCUAAAACGGGCGCUACAGGCGCCGUUUAGGAAAUGCCCCUUUUUAACCCUGAACUUAUAGAAACAGGAAUAAAUGUGGCCCUUGGGUGGUCUUUAAAGAAUUGAAAGAUGUUUUCGUUGAAAUGAUGCUGAAUUUAUACAUAAAAUGGAAGUAUAUAUUGUUGAGAAACGUGAUUGUAUUAGGAAACAUAGGUUAGACUAGGACAUAUUCUGGCUUGCCUUGUACUCCAUGUAGAUUAUGUAUUCUUAUAUAUAUGUCCACGAGGUUCAAGAAAUACAACAACUAUUUCACCAAAUCCCUCUCUCCCUUCUAACAUGGUAUUAGCCUAAUCACGAUCCAAACCCUAGCCACCGCCGCUUCCGCACCCGCGCGCCGCCCCCGGGGCGGUCGGUCUCCAUGACCACCGCCGGGGGCCGCGCCGCCCGUACCUAGGGUUCGUUCGCCGGCCGUGUUGGCCGGCUGCCCUAGAGAGUCUUUUUCCCGAGCCCUUGCUCCGGGGUUUUUUCGCUCUCUCGCCGGUCGUUUUGAUCAGCGUUUUUCUUUUUGGUUUUCCGAUCUAAUCUUGAUCGGUUUGCGUCGCCCGCCGCAGCCGUCGACCCCCGUGCGCCUCUACUCCAACCCCGGGGCGACCAACCGGCCUCUCCUCUGACCCGGCGUCCACGCGCACCAAGGCGGCCCGUCAAGGCCAGCCGUUGUCCGCGCGUCGGUCCGCCCGUCGCCCUGCGCCGGCCGUCACCGCCCUGCUCCGACUGGGAAACCUGCAUCGCCCCGACCCAGCGGCCUCGCGCCAUGCGAAGGCCAAUCAUAGCCAUCGCUCGCGCGCCGGCCCACCCAUCGAUCCACGUCACCCGCCUCCGCCGCGUUUGCACGAUGGCUCGGCGGUCUACCUUGCCGGCCUCGUCCUCGGCUGCAUCAGGCUCGUCGGCUGCCUCAACUCGGGGGCCGCUGCUCCGUUGGUCGCUCGGGCCUCGUUGCUCGGGCACCGGCGCUGCUUUGGCAGCCCUGGUGCCGGUGCUGACGUCCCACGCCGUCCGUCGCCGCCGGCCUCAUCCAGGACUCCGCCGCCACCACGCCUCCAUCGAGCGGCGUCGCCGACCUCGCGUGCGAUCGGUUUGAUCACCCGCUUGCCGCCGCGAUCCGCCUCAUCUACGCCGCGCGACCAACCUGGCCCGUCGGUUGCGCGCGCCUCCGCAGGUCCCGUGAAGAUUGUCCCGAGUUCAGCGCGCCCCUCCGCCGAUCGAGCAACGGGCUGCCGCUGCGUCGCCCCGUCGGGCCGCAGCGCCGCCGCCCCGUGGUUCUCCUCGCGGCUGCAUCGACUCGUGUGUCGCCGCUGUGUCGCCCCAACGGGCCGUAGUGCCGUGAUACGCGGUCCACGCCGCCGCCCCGAGGCCGUCCCCACGGCUGCACGGACUCGCGAGCCACCGUUGCGUCGCCCCUUCGGUCCGCAGCGUCGCGGCCCGCGGUCCCCCCGCCGCCCCGUGGUCUUCCCGCCGUCGCCCCGACCCGCCUGCCGCCGCUGCGUCGCCCCUUUGGGCCGUAUCGCCGCGGCCCGCGGUCCACUGUGCCGUCACCGCGCGUCGACCUCCCGUGGUAUGCGCCGUGCCGUCUCCCUUGGCGCGGGAACACCACCGUCCGCGCCGGUUUUCUUCUUGAUGUCAGGGUACUUCGCCUACUUCGAGCACCGCCGCCGCACUCCUAACCUAGCUGCCGCCGCCGCUCUUCUUUGGCUGCCGCCGCCGCUACCUUCGUAGCCGCCGCCGCCGCCGGUCCACCCCCUUCGUCUUCGUACAAGCACCAGCCGUCGCCAGCGUCGCCGUCAUCUACCCCGACCACUUCGUCUGCUCCGACCACCGUUGGUGACAUCGGCCCCGCGCUGAUGGACGCCGCAAUCGUCGUCGAGUUCUUCUCUGCUGGCCCCUCCGACUUCUCCGACAUGGCGUACAGCUUGUGCUGGUCCCUCGUCUACGCAUGCCCGGUGCUGGCAACACCGAUACGUCCACGACAUGUCCCCGGGCCUGGCAAGCCUGGUCGGUGCUUCGUCAACUUCGUCUUCGUCCGUCUACGCAUGCCCGGUGUUGGCAACAUCGGUGCGUGCCUUCGGCCACGAUGUGUCCCAGGCUUGGCAAACCCGCCGCGACGCGUCGUCAACAACAUUUUCUUCCCGGCGCACCCCUACUUCGACACCACUGCGCCCAUGCUAACUCGGCGCCCUCUUGCGCCCGCGGCUCCUCGGCGACUUCCUCGACACCGGCCACCCCGACUCGACAUCGACCACGGCUACCUCGACCACGGCUCCACCACCCACGCUGCUACAUCGACAAACGGCACAAAGGGCUACCGCCUGCUUGAGCAACCUCGUUGGUUUCCACUCCAGCCACGACUCCGCGAUGCGUCCACCUUUACGACUGUGGGGGGGGGGGUGUCCGUUGGCUUGCCUUCGGAUUCUUCUCCAGUCCCACCGUCUGCGUCGCUACCGUUGUGACUGCGGGGGGAUGUUGAGUAACGUGAUUGUAUUAGGAAACAUAGGUUAGACUAGGAAAUAUUCUGGCUUGCCUUGUACUUCAAGUAGAUCAAGUAGACCCUAAUGAAGGACUUUGCGUUGAUGGAUCUGAGUAGGAAGAUGUUGAUUAAGAUGGACGCCGACGGGGGCAACGACACCAGCCGACAGCUUGUCGAGGGGGCUAGCCAAGCAACGACGUCUCUCUUGCUAUCCUGCCUGCUCGGGCUCAUUCUCCUCGUCGAGGAGGUUGACGACGGAGGCAGCGCUUCGGUGUGUUGUUAUGCUUGGACUGGUAUGGGGCUAUGGGCUGCACUACGUUUGCGCUACGGUUUGUGGCCGCCUGGGCUUUUAUGGCCACUCGCUGGUGGCGGGUAGUGGUGGCAUGUUUUACGGGACACGCGAUAAAAGCCAUUAAUGGCUGGACUAGGGUGCCUGCGGGUUAAUACGGACGACAACACCAUAUUACACAGAGGGAAAACAGAGGAAAGAAUGAAGGAACGUACUAGCAUGACGUCGUGACGGGUAUGCACACAAUAAUACUUACCCACCCGUGUGCGAUAAAGGGAAUACUACAUCGAGUUGGUCAAAGUAAAAUGUGUGCCGAACUUAACAACCAAGCACACAUUUCUCGGAACAAAACGGUCACGCCACUAUGAGUUAUCGCAGUGUCUCCUUUCAUAAACCGUGUGCGCUCGUUAUCAAUAUCGUACACUAUUCUGUGUGCCCAAUAGAGCAUAUAAUUCUGAGCACACAAUCGUAUGCGCUGUCAUGAGUUAUCACACACGAGUUGCGUUUAGAAACCAUGUGCGCAACUUUCAAAUCAUCACACACGAGUAUUCAUUAUUACGCAGCGUGUGUGAUGCUCCAAGUAUCCACACACAAUUUGUUGUUGAAAAGUGUUUGCCAAUCAACAUGCAUGAUUAGGAAAAUUCAAUCGUGUGUUUUAUUACAGACUUAUCAAACACACAACUUUAUAUAAUAGUGUGUGUCCCUUAUCACACAGGUUUGCAUCUCAAAAUCGUGACCAAUGGACGGGCCAUCACACAUGUUUAAUUUUUUGGCAAACGGGUUUAUUUUUCUACCAUUUGUGAUGCCUGCAUCGCACAUAGUUCGGUUCAAGGGCGUGUGAUAGAUAUGUCUUCUUAGCCCUAUUCUGCAGGAGAGGAGGGUGAAAAAGGUUCACACUUCUGUACUUUAGUUUUCGAUAAGCUUCUUGAGUGAUGCUUUGCGUAUGUUCAAGCUGAUACCUUAUCAUAUUGGCACAAAUAAGCUUUCUCAGCAGUAGAACAGAUGCCAUUGCCAUGGCAUAGAUGCAUGCAUGUUUCCUCUUUGCAAAAUUAAAGGCGCUGGAUGUUACUUAGUACUAAUCCAGAGCUGGACGAUUGCUCUUCUUUUUCCUUUCCUUGGUCCGAACAUGUACAGCAAGCUAGGUAGCCCCACCAUAUUUAUUCAUGUUUAUUUGCUUUGCUUUAGAAAUUUUCAUUCAUCUUGGCUUGCAUGGAUAUGUGCCCUGGGUAGGGACGAUGCAAAAGGUUCUCAUCUGCUGUACUUUAGUUUUGGAGACGCUUUCUCAGUGAUGCUUGCUGUUUGUUAAAGCUGACGCCUUGUCGAUCAUGUUUGUUAAAGCUGCAGGUAUCAGCCAAAAUUAAAAUGUUUGGAUGGAGGAUCUUCAUGGUGAACACCAAUGAAAAAAAUAGCGCGCUACAGAAAAUAGCAUGGCCCCUGAAAAUAUGCUAUUAGCGUGCUAUAGCGCGCUAUAGCGUGCUAUUAGCGAGCCAUUGUACAUUGAUUUAUUUAGCGAGACAAUUCUCUAUAUGCUAUAGCGUGCUAUUAGCGGCGUUAUAGCGCGCUAUUUUUUUCAGUGGUGAACACCCAGUGGAAUUCUGGCGAAUCGCCAUAAUUGUAAUGAUGGGAGCUGCCCCAUUGGUCAUAACGGAUGCGAAGAUAUCAAGCAUGUACUUUCCCAUACCUGUAACUGUGCGAGAAGUGUGGAAUAGCAUGGGAUUUAUAGCUGAGGAUACAAGAGUUAUUGAGGAUUGAUCGGUCGGGAUCAAUAUGUAUAAAAUUAUAGGAUGACUAGAAUAUUUCUGUUGUUGUGUUGUAUUGAUCUGAUCCUUGUCACGUUUAUAUAUAAAGUACAUUGUGGGAAGAGGAUUAAAGUACAAGACAAGCCAUUAUUGGUUUAAACCAAAUCUUUCUUCAUCUGUCUUUAUCUCUAACUAACACCCAACACAUUUAUACUUCUAACACGUUAGUGUUAGAAUAUAUAAUCAGGAGUGGUGGCACUGUACCGGAGCUUGCAGAGCUGGGCUUAGCAGAAUUAAUUCUGUCAAAGGGAUGAUGGGAAAGGACGCAGGCUGUGCAUGGUGAGACAGUCCAAACUCCUAUCCGAAGGUUUGUCGAUCGCCGUCUUAUCUAAAAAUUCAAGUGGCUAGUCACAAACUGAAUGCAAAGCCUCAGGAAGGCUGGGUUAGGCCCACAGAGGGGAGGGUUCCGCGGCCGCCGCGACUAGGGACUCGCUUGGAAGAGCGACGAGAGAUACCCCCUCCCCCCUCCCGGCCCUCGCGUCGCCCCCUUGGGCGACUCGGGGGCGACUAGGGUUCCGCGGCCGCCGCCACCCCCUCCACUCCCUUCCUCCCCUCGCCGCUACAGGAGACGGCCGCCGGGAAUCCCGCGCGGGCGCCGGUGAAGGUGGCGGUGGGGAUCUCGGCGCUCCAUCCCCUCUCAAAGGCCAGUGGUUCCGGGCGCGGCGGCCCCAGCCGGAGAGGCGGCGUCAUUGGGCGGUUGGCGGCGUUUGCAGGGGUGCUGGCCAGCGUGCUUAGCGGCGCGGGCGGCGGGUGGCUGGUGGAAUCCGGCCGCGGUGCGAAGUCUCUUCUUCGUCAGAUAUGGAGGUUCGAAAUCCCUCUCCCUGUUGCCUCUCUCUCACCGUCGGCGGGGACUAGUGAUUUGUUCUCUGGCUCCGGCGGUGGUGGCCAGCUAGGGGACCGGGGGAAACCUUGGCCGAUCCGGCCGGCCCGGCGGCGGCAACGCCCAAGAGCGCUGCUUUCCUCCAUGGGGGCGCAGCCGAGGUCCCCUGCUCUCCACCCGGACCCCCCCUGCCCGGGUGAAAACCCUUUAUCCACUGUGGAUUUGGCGGCGGCGGCACCUUGCGCGUCGUGACCUUGCUGGAGGCGUCGUUAGGGGUGCUGGGCGUGGUCGAGAGGCUCUGCAGGUGAGCGAUUGAGUUGCCUCCUCUUCGUCGUCCGAUUCCAUGAAGCUUGUCUCCAACUAGUUGGGCAUGGACCGUGGCAGAGCGGCCGACUAGGGAUAUCCCAAAUCAAAGUGGUCGCACUAUGUCCACCUUACGAUGUGAGGGCGACAUUCUUCAAGCUCUAGGGUGAGCUUCUAGAAAUCCUGACGUUGCGGCGCCUACGAGCCAUGGCGAGGGGGUAGGGUCCCUCUUCGGUGAUAGAGAAGGAAGAUGGUGUUCCCCUUCUUCUCUAGGUGUUCCUGGAGCAUGGCCAUCUUCGAAGGUCGGCUAUGUCUUGCUCUGCUGCUCCGUUCUGCUAGCUCAGCCUUUGCAAGCUGUUAUCUUAAUUUCCAUUUCAUUAGCUGCUUGUGGAGGUUGUAGUGAGUGUUUCUGUCCAGUGUUCCCCAUUGUAUCGUUCUGACUGUUGUAAUUUGGGUUGUCUGUUGUAAUUCCUGGCCGGUUGAUGGCUUUGUUAAUUCAAAGCCGGGGCCUUCGCGAGCCUUCGUUCUAAAAAAAAAGGCCCAAAGAGGAAGGGUGUCCUAAAGAUCAACGUGGAUAGUCUAUUCCAUGAAGACUGAGGAACAAGCGUACCAGUGGUGGUGAUCCCUGAUGAAUAUAGCAAAUUUUUAGGAGCGGCGCAAAGAUAUCUGGCUCAUGUGGUGAAUGCAAUAAUGGCCGAAGCUUAUGCGCUCAGGGAUGGGUUUGAACUUGCCAAGUACAUCGGCUGUAACAGAUUCAUCAUCGAGUCCAAUUGCUUGCAGGUGGUAGAAACUGUGAACGUUGGCGGCCUCUCGUCAACUGAAUAGAUGAUGCAAAGUGGAGAUGUAAAACUGGCUGACAUCUCAUUGAACACGUUGGAUGUGGUGGCCGUGGGCGUGACCACGUCUUCCUCCAUGGCCGGCGGCAGCAGCGGCAGAGGUGGAGUAGGGGUUCCUUGAGCGGAUGAGGAAGUCACGGCCGCCGGUAGCAGCGAAUCAGCCGACGCACCUGCGGCCGCCUUUUAUUUUUUGGCCACCCAUGAUGGGUUCGUCGCCGGGUUGCGCCCCGCCGGUCGCUUCACACCUCCACCGCGGGGAUUGACGGCCAGCUACUUCUUCGCUGGCGUAGCCAUGACGGCGACCGGCCGGGGAGGGGCAAACCGGGGCGGCGGCAUGGAGGCGGAGGUGGGAUUGGGGACGGUGGUCAUGCCGGCGAAAGCCGCGGCAGGGUGGGCGGCUGUGGCGGGGUCGUCAGAUUCGGCCAUGGCCAGGGGGCGGUCGACGGUUAGCGGGCGGGCGAAAGGAAAAUGAAAGCGGUUGGGCAGUUGGCGCGCGGCCGCCAGUUUUACAUCUCCUAAGGGUGGAGAUGUGAAUUUGCAUCUACAUGUGUUGUAUUUUACAUCUCCUGGAGGUGGAGAUGCAUAGGGGUUGAUGCACGUUCUUGUCUUUGUUUCUCCGGUAGAAAUCUUGGGGGCACUCUUUGAAGUUCUUUAUGUUGGAUUGAAUAUUAUGAAUACGAAUUUGCUUUGGUGUUAUUUUAGUAUGAAAUCUAGGAUAGAUCGAAGGAAAGAAUAGCUUUGUGUUAUUUUAGUACGAACUCUUGAAUAGAUCGAACGGAAAGAAUAGCUUUGAGGUGUUUUCGUACCCUACAAACAAUUUAUUCUUAUGUUCUCCGCUAGAUAGGAACUUUGGAGUGAUUCUUCAUCACACUUUGAGGGAUGGUUAUAUGAUCCAAUUAUAUUAGCAUUGUUGAGAGGUUGCACUAGUGAAAGUACGGACCCUAGGCCUCAUUUUCAAGCAUUGCAAUACCUUUUUGUGCCCAUUUACUAUUUGCUACCUUGUUGUUUUUAUUUAUUCAGAUUAUAAAAAUAUAUUUCUACCAUCAAUAUUACACUUUUAUUACCAUCUCUUCGCCGAACUAGUGCACCUAUACAAUUUGCCAUUGUAUCGGGUGUGUUGGGGACACAAGAGAUUUCUUGUAUUUGGUUGCAGGGUCGUUUGAGAGAGACCAUCUUCAUCCUACACCUUUCACGGAUUGAUAAACCUUAGGCCAUCCACUUGAGGGAAAAUUGCUACUGUCCUACAAAACUCUGCGCUUGGAGACCCAACACAUGUCUACAAGAAUAAAGUUGCGUAGUAGACAUCAAUCAACAUUUCCUCUUCAAGGAAAAAACCAACGCAAGCUCAAGAAGUAGCAGGGGAAACCCGCAAAAAGCGGCUGUACCGAUCCUUUGACCGGUUGUGCCGCUCCCAUGUUUUUCUGCAACAUAACGGGCAGAUUCGCGGGGUCCUAUAAAAGAGGGUCUUCCCCAAUGGACCUCAUAUCCUUUGAGAUCAUGUUCUUCCCCCAUUAUUGACCUUCUUCGAGCUUGCUAACUCUCAACCCCUCCAAUGAUUCUUGCUAGUUCUUGAGGAAAAAGAGAGAGGAGAUCUAGAUCUACGUUUUCACCAAUCACUUUCUCCUCUAUGUGAGGCGAACCCCUUGGAUCUAGAUCUUGGAGUUUAUGGUGAUCGCCCACUACUAGGGAAAUGCCUAGCAGUAGCACUGGUUUUUGGGCUAGCAGUAGCACGGGGGGACCGCACUACUGCUAAUUACGACACUACAUCUAAAGGGUAGCGGUAGCUUUACUAAGAACGCGCUACUGGUUGUUACUAGCAGUGCUUCUCUAUACCUGCGCUACUACUAUUAUUACAUAUUCUAUUUUUUUUAUUUUAUGUCGUAUUAAUACACUAUUAGCAAUUUAGAGAUUGUUUUUACAUCAUAAUGAGUUAUUACAUCACUGGAUGAACGAACCGCGAAUUAGUUUCAAGUGGAUAGAUCCAAAGUGAUCAAGUCAUGGAUCCAUCCACUUGAAACUAUUCCGCGGUUCUUUCAUCUAGUGAUGUAAUGACUGAUCAUCAUCAUCAUCAUCAUCAUAACACAUUGUAGCACAUAAUAACAACGUCUCAUCAUCAUGACAGUCAUAAUAAACACUAACUAAUUGUUCUUAAUACCUAGGACCUCCUCCUCUCUCCUAGGUAAAAUACCGUAAAACAGAUAAACCGGACCAUCUCCAUAAUGGAGAAUGGAGAUACACCUAUCUCCAACUUGUGGCUUGCGCACAUUCAUGUUGUCUCCAAUUAGUUGCGUGUGCGCAUUCAUCACUUUGCUCCAUUCUUUGAUAUUUAGCCUUCCAUCAUUUGAAGAAAUCGAGUAUGUAGUAUGGUAAGCCUUCGAAGGAGUUGGUCGUAAGCUAACCAUAUGCAUAUAACCUUCGGUAAACAGCAUGUAAGGCACAACCUCCUUCGGGAGCCUCUGUUAAAAAACGUAAUAGUAACAUAUUGAUACGUCUCCAUCGUAUCUACUUUUCCAAACACUUUUGCCUUUGUUUUGGACUCUAACCUGCAUGAUUUGAAUGAAACUAACCCGGACUGACGCUGUUUUCAGCAGAAUUGCCAUGGUGUUAUUUUUUGUGCAGAAAUAAAAGUUCUCGGAAUGACCUGAAACUUCACGGAGAAUAUUUUUGGAAUUAAUAAAAAAUACUGGCGAAAGAAUCAAGGCCAGGGGGCCCACACCCUGUCCACGAGGGUGGGGGGCGCGCCUACCCCCCGGGCGCGCCCCCCUGCCUCGUGGGCCCCCUGUUGCUCCACCGACCUCAACUCCAACUCUAUAUAUUCACGUUCGGGGAGAAAAAAAUCAGAGAGAAGGAUUCAUCGCGUUUUACGAUACGGAGCCGCCGCCAAGCCCUAAUCUCUCUCGGGAGGGCUGAUCUGGAGUCCGUUCGGGGCUCCGGAGAGGGGAAUCCGUCGCCAUCAUCAUCAUCAACCUUCCUCCAUCACCAAUUUCAUGAUGCUCACCGCCAUGCAUGAGUAAUUCCAUCGUAGGCUUGCUGGACGGUGAUGGGUUGGAUGAGAUUUACCAUGUAAUCAAGUUAGUUUUGUUAGGGUUUGAUCCUUAGUAUCCACUACGUUCUGAGAUUGAUGUUGCUGUGACUUUGCUAUGCUUAAUGCUUGUCACUAGGGCCCGAGUGCCAUGAUUUCAGAUCUGAACCUAUUAUGUUUUCAUGAAUAUAUGUGAGUUCUUGAUCCUAUCUUGCAAGUCAAUAGUCACCUACUAUGUGUUAUGAUCCGGCAACCCCGAAGUGACAAUAAUCGGGACCACUCCCGGUGAUGACCGUAGUUUGAGGAGUUCAUGUAUUCAUUAAGUGUUAAUGCUUUGGUCCGGUACUCUAUUAAAAGGAGACCUUAAUAUCCUUUAGUUUCCAAUAGGACCCCGCUGCCACGAGAGGGUAGGACAAAAUAUGUCAUGCAAGUUUUUUUCCAUAAGCACAUAUGACUAUAUUCGGAAUACAUGCCUACAUUACAUUGAUGAAUUGGAGCUAGUUCUGUGUCACCCCUAUGUUAUAACUAUUGCAUGAGAAUUCGCAUCCGACAUAAUUCUCCAUCACCGAUCCAAUGCCUACGAGCUUUUCAUAUAUUGUUCUUUGCUUAGUUACUUUUCCGUUGCCACUGUUACAAUUACUACAAAACUACUACUGUUACUUUUGCUACCGUUACCGUUACUUUCAUACUACUUUGCUGCAGAUAUUAAGUUAUCCAGGUGUGGUUGAAUUGACAACUCAACUGCUAAUACUUGAGAAUAUUCUUUGGCUCCCCUUGUGUCGAAUCAAUAAAUUUGGGUUGAAUACUCUACCCUCGAAAACUGUUGCGAUCCCCUAUACUUGUGGGUUAUCACAUAUAUAGUUAGCAAUGUAGUUUAUAUACUUAAGAAGAAUGUAUGCAAUAAAGUUACCAUCAUUAACAAAAUCUUACCAAGUUUUUGGCAAUGAAGUUACCAUCAUGCAAUUUAUGGACUAGUGGCACAUAUCCAGUAAAAUUGGGAGGAUAUAGUGAUUGGUUUUAAAGGCCUCAACAUCAUCUAUGAAUGAGACAAGAUAACAUUUCUCCUCACAAUUAAGCUUGGAGUCAUAGCUGUAGUAUGUCCUGUCUACAGCCUUUCAAGUAUUUUUGGAAGAUAAGAAAUAAGCUAACAAUUAUAAAUAAGAUGUUUAGUACCGAUGAACACCAAAUAUUUUUAAAUUAACAAUAUAGAUUACUUAACUUAACAAAUUAGUUUGACAAACUCACAUUUAGGCAAAACUGGAGGCAUAUCCACAUCCACCAAGAUGUCAAUAUUAUCAUCAUCAUCUUUGGGACGAAUAUCAAAUGUUAUUUGCAUACCCUCUUCAAAUCCAUAUGCCUUGCAGAGAGCUUCCCAAUUAGAGCAACCGAAGUGGGAGUGAUCAACCGCAUUGUAUAGCUUAACCCGAAACGCAUAACCAUGUUUAGUUCUUAAGUGAGCCCUCCUCGUCUCCAUAUUCUCAAAGUCUUUGAAACCGAGCUUCUGCAAUACAUAUGGUCUUGCAUGGCACGGGAUGUACUAAUCGAAUUAAAGAAAAUCAAGAAAUUACACAUUGAACAAAAGAAGAACAAGUGAUGAUAUUAAUUACGAUGAAAAUGCUUGUCAUUGCAUACCGUACAAACAUCAAAGGUCUCGUCCAGCUUCACGGUGAAAACCUAUCAUUUUGCAGGUGAGGAAACCUGUUGCACAAACCCCGGUCAUCGUAGCAGUAAUGGCACUCCGGGAUCCUAUCGUCAUCAACCAUCUGUUGUGUUCAUAAUUCAAAGAUUAAACUUCUGAAUGUACAUCACGGGUUGACUUUCGGUCUGUCGAAUCUUCCUUGAAAACUCUCAUAUCAUGUGGUGUAUAUGGUGGGCACUCCCUCUCUGAUAUAUAUGACCGUCGGUGAUGGUCGUUCUUCUCUUCCUUCCCGUGCAUUACCAAAAGGUCUAUCACGAGAAAGAAGAGGAAGGACGACCCCCACGACAACAGUCGGCAUUCUUCUUCUCUCAUAUAUGGUGAACACUCCCUCACUAUUUUUUGACUGUCAUGUAUGGAGUCCCAAGAGACUUAAAGUCAACCCAAAAUGUCGUGUAAUGCUCUUUCCGGCAAAUCCAAGGCACUCGAUAUUUCCUACAUUCUAGCACAAGCCAUGCUAAAAUUCACAGAAAAAUCCAGCAUGACCUUUGCUAAAAAUGACAUAUAUCAACACUCCGGCAAAAUAUAGGCCACUCAGAAGUGUUCCCUGCAAACAUAGGCCACUUGGGCAAGCACAUAUCCUAUUUGGCUACAUCAACAUCAUCAUCGACAUCAAUGACAUGGGGAUUUGGCUGCUCUCACCUCAAGGUCGAAGGGGGUCAGUGACGAGGACGACGACGGGGCGCUCCUUGAUUUCCGCAAAAACAAAAUAUAAACCCUAUAAGCUAUCAACUAAACAUUAUUAUGCUGAUUCAAAAGACCUACAUUUACUAAAAAUUCAAUAUAUCUUAUAACCCGGAUAUUUCAUUUGGUUAAGAAUCAUAACUAAUGUUUCUUACUAAAAAUUUCUAUACCUAAAUUUUCAUACUAAAAAUUUACGUUACUAAAUUUCUCAUAUGGCAUUCCGAUACAUUUAUAUAUUGAAAAAUUUGUAUACCUAAACAAUUUCUAUUCAAAAGACAUAAAAUUUCUGUUACUAAAUUUGUAUACCUACAUUAGUUAAGAGAAGGGAUGGAGGGAGGGAGGGAGAGGAGGGGGGAGGAAGGAGGGAGGGAGGGACGAGGGGGAGGAAUAAGUGCCUCACUGGUGGUGGUACGCCGGCGACGGGCGAUGGCGGCGGGUGACGGUGGCGGCCGGGUGGUGCAGCGACGGCGGGGGGUGGUGGUGCGCGGGCGGCGGCGGCGCGCAAUGGUGACGGUCGGGCGGCGACCAGAGAGUGUCUUGGAGUGAGAGUGAGAGUGUGGUGAGGGAGAGUGGAAACGGGCGAGAUGGGGUAUAGGAUAAGGUGGUUUUAGCAGUAGCGCGGGAAGCCGAACAAGCGCUACAACUAAAAUUUUAGUUGUAGCGCGUUUAUGCAAACCGCGCUGCUACUAAAGCUAGACCCGGCGUGGCCGUGUGGCCCACUUAGCAGUAGCGCCUGACCAGUGAGAGCGCGCUACUGCUAAGUCUUACCUGUAGCAUGCUCGCUUUACCCGCGCUGCUGCUAGUUAGCAAGAGCGCGUCGUUCUAACAUGCGCUACUGAUAAUGCUCUGUGUAUAAGGUUUUCCCUAGUAGUGGCAUUGUUCUUCCUCUCAUAUUCCUCCAUAGUUUUUGUUGAUUUGGUGGGAUUUGGGAGUGAAGGACUUGACCACUUCGUGUGUUCUUGCCAUUGCAUUAGUUGCAUCGGUUUGAGUCCUCCACAGUGAUACAUGGAAGUGAAAGUUGAGAAGCUUAUUACUCUUGGGUGUUUGGGCACCCUAGAGCUUGUUCCUCUUGCGUGCUUUGGUGCCCUAGACGGUUGGUCUGUUCGGAGCUCAAUCAUUGUGGUGUAAAGCUCCGGGCUUGCGUCGGGGUCUCCAAUUAGGUUGUGGAGAUUGCCUCAAGGAAUUUGUACGGGUUCGGUAACCGCCCUCAAGGGUUGCCAUUUGUACAGGUUCGGUGACUGCCCUCAAGGGUCCCUUAGUGGAAUCACGACAUCUUGCAUUGUGUGAGGGCGUGAGGAGAUUACGGUGGCCCUAGUGGUUUCUUGGCGAGCAUUGUGCCUCCACACUGCUCCAAACAGAGAUUAGCAUCCGCAAGGGUGUGAACUUCGGGAUACAUCGUCGUCUCCGCGUGCCUCGGUUAUCUCUUACCUGAGCUCUUUUCUUACGCACUUUACAUUGUGAUAGCCUUAGUGAUUCAUGUUAUAUAUCUUGCUAUCAUUUAGUUGUUUAUCUUGCUUAGCAUAAGUUAUUGGUGCACAUAGGUGAACCUAAUUAUUUUAGGUUUUGUGCUUGACAAAUUAAACGCUAGUUUUAUUCCGCAUUUGUUCAAUCCCAAACCGUAAUUAUUUUAAAGUGCCUAUUCACCCCCCCUCUAGGCGACAUCCACGAUCUUUUAAGUGAGGAAAAACCUAGAGCCAAAGUGAUUGAGCAUCACUAAAGAGUUUGAUCUAUGUGAUCUGACGUCUGUUACCAUUGAAGACUGUCAUUCUUCCAGAUGGUUAGGCGUCAUGUUCUAAGCAUUUAAGAGUAAUUGUGGCGUGCCGGUGAACAAGUCUAUGAAGGUUUUGGAAGUCUACCUUGAAGACUUAGCACAAGUGAUUCGGCGAGGUCUGUUGUGACCUUAGCUCAAGAGGAAUACGGUGAACACUUAUUGUCUUCAGAGUUCAAUCUCAGCCGCCUCAACCAGAUGUACAGUUGAUACAACAACUGUAACUAGUCUACCAAAUCAUCGUGCCAUAACCGUGGCAACCUGGUUUUAAAUUCCUCAACCCCUUUACUUUUUGUUAUUCCGCUGCUGAAGAACCUAAAAUCUACUUUCUAAAGAAUUUGAACUGAAGACUUUCAUUAUGAUGCUUUUCAUUUCUUCAGUUCAUCUUGAGUAUGCCUGAUUGCUUGUAUGGUUGCACGUCCUUCACUUGCAUCUAUCUUGUAUGCAUGCUUUAUGUUUCUGUGAUGAACUAGUCUUGCUCUUGUCUCAAUUUCUUCACCGUGAUCUUCGCCAAAGUCUUCAGAGUUUGACGAAUUCUCAAAAUCUCCCAUUCACCCCCCUCUAGGAGUAAACCUGUGAUUUCAGCAACCACUACCAGAAUUGCCGAGUUUGAUGAUUGUUUUUCGCCAAGCUCUCGUCAAAGAUCCUCUUAAACCAUGUGUAGGAAAAACACACUCUAAAAACCAUAGUAGCCUUGCCUACGACGAGUGUAGACGAGAAAAGACUUAGCAAACAGAAUACUCUUGGCAAACGAGGUGUCGUGUGUCCUUGCUCACCGCAGUUGUCGGCGUGACCUCGUUUGCCGACUUUCUUUUUGAACACUUGAUGUUGAUAUUCCAUGUAGUAUUUAUGCUUGGUGUUUAAGAGCAAGAGCCUGAAGUAGAAAUUAUUUCCCUUAGCUAAGAAAUUAUAUUACCAGUCCAGUAAGAACACACUAGUAGAAAAAAGGGCUUAGGUCACAGGGCAGUUUUCACAUUAGCCCCGGUUCAGUCACGAACCGGGACUAAUGUGAGCAUUGGUCCCCGUUCAUGAGCCCAGGGGGCCGGCCGGGGCCUCGUGGGCAUUGGUCCCGGUUCGUAUGGACCCUUUGGUCCCGGUUGGUGGUACAAACCGGGACCAAUAGGCCACGCUCCUGGCCCACCAUCCUUUAGUCCCGGUUCAUACCACAAACCGGGACUAAAGGGCUGGUCCUAGUUGCGGCCAGUAUUUAGUCCCACCUCGCCAACCGAAGGGCGCUCACACCAGUUUAUAAGCCCGUCCCUCUAUGCCUUGUUGAGCUUCUAUUAAAGUGAAAAUAGAUGCCCUUAUACAGGAAAUUUAUAGUAAGGAAAUUAAUAGAACUAGUUUGUUUUUUUAGUUAAAGCAAUUAUUCCCGCAUCGACAUCGACGAUGCCUAUCCCGCAUCCUCGUCGUCGACUCGGCGGAGGAGGCCGGCUUGAUCAGAGGGGCCAUGUCCGGGACUGGGCUCCGCCGGGCUGGUUUUGGGAGGUGCUACCUUCCGGUGGGCGUAGGUUGGUGAGGAACCAGCCCGUCGUUGAUCCGAUCCUUGUUUGGUGGCGCUCGCGUGGGUCAGUGACGGUGCCGAGGCUUCCGGACACCGCGGAGGUGGUACGUCACCGUGUCAGCGAGGAGGACCAGCACGUCCGUCGCUACAUGGUUGCGUUGGAGGGCAGGUUCGACAAUACCUGGCAGGUUCUUCAGGGAUCUCACUGAAGCUAUGAUCCUGUGAUGGUUCCGUCCCUUUGGGUGUCCACCGCCCGCGCCGAUACCCGUCGGGCGCUACUGUUCUAGCUGUACUAGCGAUGCUAUAUGUAUGAUAGUAUUCGAGGUGUAUUAGUGAUAAUAUUCGGCGAUGUACGGACGCAUGGAGAUGAUGUAGUUUUGCUUAUAAUUGAAUGCAUCCUAAUUUGAAUACUACUUUAUUUUGUGAUUUGAUUUUGCUUAUUGAAUGCUCAAAGUGGAAAACUACUCCGAUCAUACUUUGAAUGCUAAAAUUGGAGAGCACUAUGAUUAGUUGAUAGCUUAUAGGGUUUUUGUUUUCGCAGAAAUCUAGGAGCCCCCCCGGCCCCUCCAUCAUCCCCGCCGUCGUCCCCGUCACCGCCCCUCCGACAUCGAGGUGAGACCAGCCAAAUCCUCUUUUAGAAAGAUAAUUAAACGAUAUUUCGGGUUGACUGUAAGUCUGUCGAGUCUCCACCAUAUAUGAGAGGACGAAGAAUCCCGACUGUUGUCGUGGGGGUAGCUUCUCCUUUGUUCCCGUGUGCUAGACAAUUUGGUGUAAUGCACUCGAGAACGAAAGGAGGAGCUACCAUCACCGAUGGUCGCAAAGGUCAGAGAGGAAUCAGUGAGGGAGAGUUCCACCAUAUAUAUAUAUGAGAGGACGAAGAAUCCCGACUGUUGUCGUGGGGGUCGCUUCUCCUUUGUUCCCGUGUGCUAGCUAGACAUUUUGGUGUAAUGCACACAGGGACAAAGGGAGGAGCGACCAUCACCAACGGUCGAAUGUAUACACCACGUGAGCUGAGAGUUUUCAAGAAAAGACUCGACAAACCGAUAGUCAACCCGUGAUGAAUAAUAAUGAUCUAACUUAGGUUUUUUAGUACAUAUAUUUAAUUGUAGAUGUUUAAUAUUUGAAUUAUAUAUGAACAUAGGAAAUGUCGUACUCGGACGACGAAAGUCUCCCGGGGGAGUGCGACUGGUGCCACGACGACCGAGGUCAGUGCGACAGGCCUCACCUGGACGAAGAUCGGCGCUUCAGUAUUAAGCUGGAGGAGACGUUCGAUGUUGAAAUGGUACGCAACGACGACAAGUGUUAAUUUUUCGUAAUUAAGCACGACUUCAACUAUUUCAACGUGUACUUUUCAUCUUUUACAAUUCGGCUAGCUUAUCAUGCCAUGCAAGACGCUACGUCUUGGAGAGGAUGGGUUUUGAAGACCAUGAAAGUAUGGAAACAAAGAAAAUUCACCUAAGGACCCAUCAUGAUAUAGAUUUUGAAGUAAAGCUGUAUAAUUCUGAGAGCGUAACCCAUUUUGGUUGCAAAAAUUGGGAAGCAUUUUGCAAGAUGUAUGGUUUUGAUGAGGGUAUGCUUGUCACCAUGGAUCUUGGUGAUCCUGACAUCGAGCAAGACAAUAUGGACAUUUGGGUCCUUGUUGAUACGCCUCCAAUUCUACCGCUAUGUGAGUUUCUCAAACAUAGUUAUUAGCUAAUUUAUAUUGUUCAUUUCAAAAUAGUUGACAGCUUAUUUUCAUUGACAGCUUAUUUUGAUUGUUCAAACAAUGUGCGGAACAUGGUAGACAGAACCUACUACACCGAUGGCUCUGAGUUAACUUAUAAGGAGAAAACUCAUCUGGUCGGAUUUUGUACUGAUAUUGAGAAUUACAAUAUCUACAAUCAAACUCCUCAUCAUUAUGGUCCUCCAUACGUGCCACUAGUGCACGUGUUGAACUACGGUAACUACUAUGGAGAUACCCUGGUAAGAUUUCUUACUAUUACGACAUCCGUGCAUAUUUUGCAUAGUUCUAAAACUAGUGCAUUAUCAUUGCUAACUAUGAAGUUAUUACUAUGUUUUUCAAUAGAUAAUCCCAGAGGAUUGUGUGCCUCAUUUGAUGUAUCAGAAUGGUAGGCUUGAUGUUUUGAAUAUACAACCAGGUCAUCCUACAAAUCUCAACUGUCCAUACCGAAUUUCUAAAAGAAGUGGAGACAUGCAAAUCAAAGAAUGGAAAAAAUGUAUGGACAAUCGCAAGGAGCUUCUUGGAAGCAAAAGGAAGCGAGGCGCAAGAAUUGGAGACAGGAUGAUCUCCAUUCUCCAUAAUGGAGAGUCAGGGUCUAUAUUGUUUUAUGCUAUUUUACCUUAAAGAGGGUAUUUCGGUCCUACCUAAUACUGAUGAUCAUGUGCUAAGAACAAUUAAGUAGGGUUGGUUCGAUGACUGUGAGGAUGAUGAUCGUAUGACUUGUUAUUAAUAACGAAUAGAAGUUGUAUGAUGAUGAUUAGUAGGACUUGUUAUUAUAUAUGAUGAUGCAUGAUGCGUGCAUGAAGAGUUAUUAUAUAUCAGCGGGUGAAAUGAACAUGGAUUGGAUUGAAGUGAAGGCAACAUGCAUGUGGUGCGUGUCGAAAGUAGUACAAUCCAAACUUGAUCAAGUCCGGAUUAGUAUUACUUUCGACAUGCACCACAUGUUGCCUUCACUUCAAUCUAAGCCAUGUUUAGGCAUAGCAGUACGUAGCGUUGGUAAACCAAGCACGGAGAUAUAAGAGAGGACACUUCUCUCUAAUAGCUACCUAAUAACAACCUAAAUUAACCCCCCAAAACCCCCAACCCCCCUCCCUUUCAAAAAAAAAACAAAAACCUCAGCUCCUGCCAGGUGCUGACGCGUGGAUGCCUAUUGGUCCCGGUUGGUGGCACCAACCGGGACCAAAGGCCCUCCUGCCUGGGCUCCCCGCACCGGCCACGUGGACGGCCUUUAGUCCCGGUUCGUGUAAGAACCGGGACUAAAGGGCUAGGGCAUUAGUAACGACCCUUCAGUCCCGGUUUCAGAACCGGGACUAAAGGCCCUUAUGAACCGGGGUAAAAGCCCCUUUUCCUACUAGUGACACUUGAGAUGCAUUUAAUGAUCACUACAUGCAUACAAUUAGAAAAAUUCUAUUUGGUCCCCAAAUUAGAUAGUGAGAUUGUCAGUCUCCCUAGACUUGCUAAUAACAAGGAUAAGCCUAUCACAUGGUAGGAAUUGAUAAUUGCAUGUAAAUAAAGAAAUGAUUCAGAAUGUAAAGACCAAAGAAAGAGUUCGAACAAGUAAAUAUAAAUCCGAUCAUAAAGUGACAAUUGAUUACAGCAAAACAAACACACAACACUAUGGGGCUGGCGAGCUAUGCACCUGUGGUCCAUUUAUCUUUGGGGAGGAGUAUGUUGGCUUCUCUGGCUUCGGAUCUGUGGCUUCGUGAGGUGGGCAUGGUGGUCCCUUUGUGGCAGGUGCCACCAUCCAGGUGUUCUUUGUCUUUUUUUUCGAUAAAACGGAAACUUUAUUCAUUGGAAAUAAUUAGUACAUCGUUUGUGAGGAUCAUAACAAUUUCAUUAAGAGGCUGCUAAAACCAAUCCGAAGUCAAAGAAAAUCUAGCUAAUCUAGCGAGUUCAUGGGCUACUUUAUUUACCCACCUCCAGGUUGUCCGAGUUAAUAGUUGGGCGAUUACAUCCCACCCUCUACGCCAGUGUUAAGAUAACCCACAUGGGAGGCACCUGUGAGUGGGAGUUGGCAUGCAGGCAGCUCCUUGGGGAAUUCGUCUUCAUCACUAACCUUUUUCCUUGUAGAAGACUGUGGGUGGUAGGACAAUCGUUCCCAAGCGAAAGCUUUGCACGACGUCGUCAGUGCCAGUGACGCUGACGCUUUUGAGUGCCGUCCCCUUCUUGGAGGCAUCACCUUGGGUUGUCUCCUUCACCCUGGGCUUUGGGUAAAAACACUUGCUCCGACAUGUUGGACCAGGCGGCGGAGGCACUAUGGUGUCGUUCCUUCCUUGAAGGCUCUGUUGUGUGAGCUAGUUCCCUUCUUGCCCAAGGUUAGGGUGUGUUUGUGGGCAGUAGCUAAUUCUCUUCGCAUUGAUGGUCUCGUGGCUGUGACGGUGCUCUUUAGGCGAGCUACCUCGGCGAGAAGUUGUGUUCGGAGUCCUUCUCCUUGGGUUCGACAGGCUCUAGGUGAGGUUCUGCAUCAUUCGACGAUGCGGCGCCCUUUGAUCCAGCGCGAGGGGCAGGGGUCUCGGCGAUGGAGCUGGUUCGGGUGGUGGUGCUUGGCCUCCAUGUGUUGGCGAUGACAUGGCUUCCUCUGUCUACUAGUCUCUCUCUCAAGUUGUCUCCGUUCUUCUCUCCGUUUUCCUAAUCGUCGAUGAUGGCUCUGAGGACUCCAUGCAGUGCUCAAAUCUUUCUUUUGUUGUUUGCUUGUUGUUUUCUCGGGCUUUGUUGUUAUCCUUGGCACCUUGUAUCUUGCCGUUUUCUUGUUUAUCUUUAAAGUUGGCGAAAGCUUUUUUUGAUGUACAUAGCCUAGAUGCUAAAAGAAAAAGUAGAAAUAAGAGAAGAUGGGAAGAUCUUUAAAUCAAGGUAAUUGUGUUAAUCAUCCCCUCCGUAUGGCUCUAACUUAAGCUAGUUGAUCCUGGACAAUUCCAACACUAACAUUUAGAUACGAAUGUGUAUGAAUUUUUGGAUUUUUACUAGCAGGUGCCGUGGCACCCGGGAGCCAAAUGUAUAGAUCUGCAUGGUACUCAUAUACUAUUGGAUACAAGAUAAUACUUCCAAAUUUUGAAACUGUUGGAGAAAAGUUCACAAUGUAUUCAAAAAGAGGUCCCACGAGACUAAAUAUAUUUUGCCGCACAGUACCAUGCAUUGUCAUUUGACUCAUUUGGAUAUCCACUAGUACCAUCGAGGAACACAAAGCCCCCGGCCUUCUUAUGCAAGCUAGCUAGUACAUAGGUAGAAACAGAGGAGUGGUAGUUUGAGGAAUGCAGGCUUCUGGAGUUGUAUAUAACGAUUACACCUUUAUUGAAUAAACAGAUCUGGAUUUUCAAUCUGAAGUAGACACGCAUAAAAAGUUAAAUGGCCGAUCAGAACGAAUAAAUAGCCAAAAGAACAACGCAAAAGAAUUACUACAAGGAUGCCGGCGCGGUGGUGCAAUGAGUCGAGUGACAACUUUUCAUUGGUUGGCUGCCUGGUUGAUAUCAGGGAUGUCCUCCUGGUCUGGCCCCUCUUCGCCAUGGAUGGCGUUCCCACGAAAGCCGGCGUGGGAGACCAAUGCCCACAGGUGUGUGAUGAGCUCACUGUCGCCGGCAAGAUGCCUCCCGUGGGUGGCUGCCCUCGUGUUCGCGGCCAAGUGGAGGAGGAACCCCGUCCAGAAGUUGGCCAGGUCGCUCCACAGGCCUUCUGCGUGGCCUUCAUACACCUUUAUCAGGUGCUUCCCUAGCAUUGCACCCAUCCUUGUUAUGGAACACCCAAUGUGGAGGCCUCCAUCGUCUUCUUUUUCUCUCACUUGCUCUGGUGUUACUGGUUCCACGUCAGGGCCCCAGCCCCAGCUCUGAUGGUGAUCAGUGUUCUCGCAGGGCUUGUGGACUGUCUCCAUAAGGCCAUUGUACACAAAUAUGAAAGGUAGCUUGCCACGCCCCCACUGGCGAUUGAAUUUGGAUGUAACGUGGUCAAUUUCUUGGAUUACCUCACCAAGGACCAUUCCGGCAACAAUGGGAUUAUCCGGCACCAGAUCCUUGCUGACCAGAUACGUACAAUAGUUGGAUAAGGUGGCUGCAGUUGCAUACUGCUCAGACCACACAGAUUCAUAGUUUUUCCUUUUAUUGCGAAUUCCAUUUGGACCGUCGACGAAAGGCCGCGGUCGCUGCACAGCCCUGAGCUUCUUGACCGUGUUGAAGAAGUUGAUCUCACAGAGGCUGGUGGCGAUAUGCCAGACCAGUAUGAUGUGGGUGUCUACCUUGAGGUUUCUUGGCCACUCCACCACCUUCUCAUUUGAUCUGAAGGCGUUUGAGAAGUAGUUAUCCAGCGCUAGCCCUUCCUUCUCCAACUUCUUGAGCGUAUCCAAUAUCGCAAUCUUGGUGUAAUCUUUCAGGGCGGUUGUUCCAACAGUUUCCCCUCGACAGAGUACCAUCCUCCAUGUGAGCGGAGGCAGCACACCUGCUGGCUUUAGCACACGGAAUGUAACCAGAAGGUUCUGCUGACUGACCGUCUGAAUCCAUUUGGCUUUGCUGCCGAAAAACAACAUGAACCUCAUUGCCAUCUCCACCAUCGGACGCCGCAAGCACUGAUGCUGGACGUACUUGCACAACAUCAGAACCUUUGCCCACCGUGACAGCACAUAGAGAAAAAUCUCCAAGAGCUCCUUGAGAACGAUGAUGCCGACCAUGAGGCGUGUGAUGAACACGCCGUGUGUGAUCCUGUUCCGGUCUGCUGGAUCCAUCCUCUCGGGUAUGUAUCGGGCAGGAUACGCAAUGUAUCCCGUCGCCGCCGCCAAGGACAGCGAGAGCAGCAGGCUCCGGAGUGGAACCAUGGCUCCGCCGGCAAACACCGCGGCGUGCUUGCUAUAGAAGAGGUCUUGGAGGAAGGACAGCUCGACCCCUGUGAUGCGGAACGCCCUCUCGCAGUCCUUAAGGAUGUAGUCGAUGACGAGCUUGCGGAUCUUGUUUUUCCCCUGCGGCCUAGUGAGUUCAUGCACCGGGAGAUCAUAGAACCGACGGCGCAGCAGCUUGUACAUCGCGAACGAGAGGCACAGGUCCUUGCGCUGGUUGCCAGGGUCUGCUGUGCUUGCGCCUCCCAACAAUCUGCUCUUGCUGGUGUCACGCCAUAGCUUCUCCACGGUGACCAGGUGAUCCUUGUGGACACCAUCUGGAUCCAACUGAAUCUUGUAGCUCCUGUUGGACUCGAUUAUUAUUCUCUCCCUUCUGAAGCAAGAAGAUAGUCUUCUUCUUCCCUCCCGCCGGCCCUCUUGUACUUCCUUGAGCACCCGGUGCUCCCCAUGCACCAGGUACUUGCACCCUGCCAUUUCUGACACCUCCUGCUCAUCAUCAGAACCACCAGCUGCAGCAGCAAGAGCAGGGAGAUGGUCCUCAUAGCUCAUGUAGUCGCUCACCAGCCUCAUGCUCUCUUGGUUUUCAGUCUCCCCUUUACUUGAGGUGACGAAGAGCACGAUGAUUCGAACUGCAUUAAGCGCCCAGAUCAACCAGAGGGGGAUCCUGAGGAGCUCAAAGGUCUGCACCCGGAGGAGAUUGGCUGACCAGAAGGAGGACAUGAGGUCCAGCAAGGGGACCUGCUUGGACCUGGUGUAGGGGCGCCCGAUCUUGACGCUGUACUGCAGGGUGACCAGCAGAACCGCCCACACCUGGAAGUAGUCGUUCACCCUCGCGCCCGAUAGCUGCAUCAGUCCCAUGGUGUACAUCACCAAGUUCUGGUUCAGUAUCUCCAUGGUGACGACAGUAAACAUCCUGCUAGGCUUCCCAAACCAUGGCCCCGAGAAGUCGAGGAGGAACCUCCACACCAAUAGCACUGUCGUCACCAGCACCCACAGCUCCACACUCGCAAUGUGAGUAGCGAUGUCCAGCAUAAAGAGCUUCUCCAAGGUGAGCAGGAUUGUUGCAGCAGCCUUAGCCUUGGCGGAGCUCAUCCUCCUCCCCCUCCUCUUUCUCUGUGUGUGUGUGUGUGUGUGUGUGUGUGUGUGUGAACGCCCUUACAGUGAGGAAUGGAACUCUCCAAUCAUGGUGGAUAGGGAGCUCAGUGAACGCAUCUGAUGAAGCGCUCAAACAGUGGCCCUCACUCAACGCAUAUGUUUGUGUUUGAGCCCGUGAUGCGUGCUUUGCUUUACUCCGAGAUGCCUCCGCUCCCUUGACUGUCAAACGGGGCCUGAGAGGUGGGGUCCGGUCAAAAGUGCGCAUUCUGAGGGCGGGCCAUGGGUCCUCCGCCUCGCGCUUUUCUUCUUUUUCUUUUCAUUCCUUUUAUGUGUCAGUUUGUGGUCGCUGGCUAUGAACCUCUCUUUUGCCACCGCUGUUAGAGCAUCUCCAGCCUCAAGGGGCUCCAAAAAAUCAGGCGAACCGGUGUUAAAAAAAUCAGGCGAACCGGUGUUAAAAAUUAGCUUGGGGCGAGUGGGUUCUCAGCCGCCGCCACCCAGGGCCGCCUCUAGUCGCCGUUUUUAAAUAUUUUUGAAAAUAAAUUCAGCUAAAAUUCGGCAAACAUUACAAAGAUUCAGCAAACAGGACAUAAAUUUCUGCGUUCUACUUUUUUUUUACAUAGAAAAUUAAAAUUACUAAAUAAAAAACUCGCUGAGCGCGGCGUAGUCACCGUCCGCCACCGUCGCCUCCGUCGUCCUUCUCCUUCUUCACGCUGCUGCUGGACCCCCUACCCGGGGUCGCCCAAACGGACAGGUUUGGCUGGUGGCGGCGCGUCGUCGUCGCUGUCUUCAUACACGAUGACGCCCCCUUCCUCGCGCCCGCGGGCAGGGCGCGGCGCUGGCGCUCCAUCUCCAGCCGCGCCCAGUCUUCCCGCGCCCACUUCAUGGCCGCCUCGUCGUCGAGCUCCGGCUUCGUCUUCACGGCGGCGAGACCCGGCUCCGUCUUCACGGCGGCGAGCCCCGGCUCCGUUUUCGGCUUGACGAAGCGGGGAGGAGCCGAGGAGGAGGCACGCCCGCCCUCGUUGAUGACGAUGCCAGCGUUGUGGGUGCGCCGGCCGAGCGGCAUUUCCAUGGGCUCGGUCUUGACGCUGAAGAGCGCCGGUGAGCCAGAGGAGUGGGAGGAGGAGGAAGAGGAGCCGGUACGUCAGCGGAGGCUCGUUGCCGUCCUUGAGGUGCUCGAGGAUGACGUGUUGCGUGCGGCCGGGGGCGCCCCACCAUAGGCGGCGGCCGUCGCUAGUUUUGGUCCCCUGCACCACCGGCGCGUUGUUAGUGGAGGCCACCCGCUCCGCCUGCCGGCGUUCAAAAUAUGCCGCCCACGCCGCAUGGUUGCCGGCGUCGUACUCCGGGAGGGCCCGCUGCUCCUCCGUCAGAGACGCCCGCGCAUGCUCGAUCUCGGCGCGGAAGUAGUCGGGGCGCGUGACGUCGGGCAGCGGGGGACGGGGACGCCCCUGGCGUUGAGCCUCCACCGCCCCUUCGCGCGCAUGUCGGGAGGCGUCGGGUAGUUGGCUUCGUGCAGGACAUGGGCUUCCCACUCGUGCAGAGAGCAGCGGCCCAAGCCAUUCGCCGCCGCCCCAUCGCCGUGGAACCUUUCGCCCAUUGUCUGCGGUGGCUGUGAAUGGGGAGGGAGAGGAAAGAGAGGGCUCGUCGGCGGUGGCUGUGCAUGGGGAGAGAGGGGCUGCGGACGGGUGUGUCCACCGGCGAGGGAGGCGCCGCUUUAUAUAGCGGCCGGGGGGUGGCGCCGUGUGUACGCGUGGCGGGGAGAGGGCGCGUCGCCGCACAGCGCCGCCCGUGAGGAAUCAAUGGAAGGCUGACCGGCGGCAGCCUUGGCAUUGAUUCCCGGCUGGAAACCGAGGCGAUGUGUGGACGGCGAGGCACGGGUCACUGACUCGGCGGGCCCGCCGUUCUUUCGCGCCAAAACGAUCACCCCGGCGCCCCGCAACGCGCCGGGUUCGGCCUGGGUCCGCCGACGCCAGUUUCGACCCUAACCGCCGAAAACUGUGCUCCUGGGGCGCGACUGGGCCGUUUUUUGGGCACCGGCGCAGAAAAGGGAUCUGGGGGACCUGUUGGGGACGCGGCGGGAGAUGCUCUUAUCUCUCAGGCAUUGAGAUUUUUAGUACUAAAAUGACCCUUGGAGAAGCUUAAUUCGGUCACUGACUCCUAAGAAACUUAUUGCGGAAUCAGGCACCCAUUUGUGCCUAACCUUUAAGCGUCUAACUUAACCGCCUUAAAACAUCUACAACCGGAGUCCUCAGACACUCUCAAUACAUUUGGGCGAACGGCUGAAUCACCGCAUGGUCACUUUUUCGCCAAGCAUCCACCUGACCUCAAAUCAGCCCGGCCUAUACGUCCGGUUUAACUGGCAAUCCCCGUACCAAACCCAUAUCUGUGCUGGUGCCCGAACGCGUCGGCCAUGUCGAAUCCAAUAGGCCGGACCCAUCCCAAACUCACUCCGAAUUGAUCAAGUCCACCAAACUGGCCGCCCUCCUCUAGCGUUCAUCCUCCAUUUCCCGCACCCGAGCCAUCCCCCUCCUCCACCCUUGCUCCCUUUCUAUGCCACCACACGCGCCCGCCGUCCAGGGCCGACCGCCAUGCUCUGUCCGAAGGCUUCCUGUUGCGAGAAGAGACGCGAAUAUGAAGACCCACCGACCGUCGUCCGCCGCACAGAACUUUACCUGUCGGCUUCCUCCCGUGGGCUACAGGUGGUUAGAAGGGAGGAGAGGCGGCGACGGCGACUAGGGUUUCGGCGAGCCGCCCCCUUGAAGCAGAGCAAGCAUGCCUUUGUGAAAGUUCUGCUCACCUACAGUCUCCAUUGAAUUUCCUAUUUUACUAUGCUUUCAUGUACUCUCAUUCAGCAACUUUAUCAAUC